Molecule: non-coding RNA, 1258 nt
Organism: Vigna umbellata (rice bean)
Lineage: Eukaryota; Viridiplantae; Streptophyta; Magnoliopsida; Fabales; Fabaceae
Source: RefSeq, a predicted model, not a curated record
GAUAUGGAGAUAGACAUUGGGGUCCAUAUUUCAUGCGAGAAUUGUUAUAAUUGCUAGUAGUUCUUAAGGAAGUUUGGGGUUUCCUACCUUAAUUACUCACUUUGUAGAAACAUGGGGUUGGAUUCAAACACUGCAGUGUUUAAUCGUCUGCAGGCCACCAUUAAUAAUAAUUUCAUUAGGAAACAUCAUGUUCCUAGAAUUAGGCCUUCCAACCAUCCACGAUGGUCUGCUUACCGUGUUCAACCAACUUUACGGUCCUUUAAGUCUCCCUAUCUCACAAAAUAAACUUUUAAUGCAAGAGUUGGGCUGAAGCCCUUUUGCUGGUUUAAUGAAACGCAACGUUUCCUGGUGCGAUUUGCCCAAAGCUGAUGAGGUCUCCUACUUCACAAAUCCUUUGUCCAAAGAGAGGCUCGAGCAAUUGAGAUUUGUCCCUAACAUUCGAAACCCAAUAGCUAGGGUUCGUGAAGAAAAGAAGAGCACCUAAGGUUCUUCAGCGCAAAGAGAAGAAGGAUGUUCGGCCCAAAAAGGAAGCCAACCCAAAUUGAUCGGUCCGGGGAAGAAAAUCGGAAGCAAUGCAGAGUUGAUCGGAUGGCUGAAGAUUAAGAGAAAGGGAGAAGCGUUUGAUCAAAGGCAGAGCGAAGUGGCAAAAAGUUAGUUGAAGAUGCUUUGCAAGGCUUCCGGAGUUAGUUACCGAUUCUUCCCCCUUUCCCCCUUUUCUUUCUUUUUCGGUUUUUGACUUUCCCUAUAUAAAGGAAGUCUUGUAAAGUGUAAACACGGGUGGUGGGUGACAGGAACCAUUCUUAGGUUUAUACGUGCACUGGGUGAUAGACGAUGUACUUAGAUUAGGUUUUCCAAUUUCUUGCUCUAGUUUUAGAAUUUCCAGCUUUCCUAGAAGUAGAUACAUUCUUUGCUUCACUGGGUUUCUUUAAUCUCUCCAUUGGGUGACAGACGGUGGAUUCUUAGACUCUGGUUGAAAACAGGCUUGCACCAGACUUUAAGAGAUGACUGAUUCUCAGGACUGGUUAUACAAGUUGAUUAAAAGAACGCCUAAGUUCCAUGGGCUAGCACAUGAAGACCCACACAAGCACAUCAAAGAGUUUAGCUGGGUGUGCUCCUCCAUGAAGCCUACUAGAUUUCCAGAGGAGGUAGUGAUGAUGAAGACAUUUCCAAUGUCUCUGCAAGGUGCAGCAAGAGACUGGUUCUUGUAUCAGCAAUACCCUCUUGGUAGUUACCCAGAGAUGUAGUAGAGGUUCCUCAA